GUGGGGAAUAUUGGACAAUGGGGGGAACCCUGAUCCAGCCAUGCCGCGUGUGUGAAGAAGGCCUUUUGGUUGUAAAGCACUUUAAGCGAGGAGGAGGCGCCCUAGAUUAAUACUCUAGGAGCGUGGACGUUACUCGCAGAAUAAGCACCGGCUAACUCUGUGCCAGCAGCCGCGGUAAUACAGAGGGUGCGAGCGUUAAUCGGAUUUACUGGGCGUAAAGCGUACGUAGGCGGCUUUUUAAGUCGGAUGUGAAAUCCCUGAGCUUAACUUAGGAAUUGCAUUCGAUACUGGGAAGCUAGAGUAUGGGAGAGGAUGGUAGAAUUCCAGGUGUAGCGGUGAAAUGCGUAGAGAUCUGGAGGAAUACCGAUGGCGAAGGCAGCCAUCUGGCCUAAUACUGACGCUGAGGUACGAAAGCAUGGGGAGCAAACAGGAUUAGAUACCCCGGUAGUCC
Molecule: ribosomal RNA, 451 nt
Filed under: uncultured bacterium
Lineage: Bacteria
Description: partial 16S ribosomal RNA
Rfam family: Bacterial small subunit ribosomal RNA
Source: RNAcentral